GGGGGUAUAGCUCAGUGGUAGAGUGUUUAACUGUGAUUUAAGUGGUCCUUGGUUCAAAUCCAAGUGCUUUCU
This is a non-coding RNA of Gopherus flavomarginatus (Mexican gopher tortoise), 72 nucleotides long. Lineage: Eukaryota; Metazoa; Chordata; Testudines; Testudinidae. The record is from the annotation of a RefSeq genome assembly.